GAGUAGUGUGACAUGCCCGUUUGGGAUAUACUCUGAUAUUUAUUUAUUAAUUAAUUGUUUGGGAUAACGGGAUGUUACAUUAUC
This 84-nucleotide microRNA precursor is filed under the name Medicago truncatula (barrel medic). RNAcentral's name for it is "MIR2617 microRNA precursor family". It matches the Rfam family "MIR2617 microRNA precursor family". The record is from Rfam by way of RNAcentral. Lineage: Eukaryota; Viridiplantae; Streptophyta; Magnoliopsida; Fabales; Fabaceae.